Molecule: ribosomal RNA, 393 nt
Filed under: uncultured bacterium
Lineage: Bacteria
Description: partial 16S ribosomal RNA
Rfam family: Bacterial small subunit ribosomal RNA
Source: RNAcentral
AUACGUAGGAUGCGAGCGUUAUCCGGCUUUAUUGGGUUUAAAGGGUGCGUAGGUGGUAGUUUAAGUCAGCGGUGAAAGUUUGUCGCUCAACGAUAAAAUUGCCGUUGAUACUGGUUUCCUUGAGUACGGUACAGGUGGGCGGAAUUCGUGGUGUAGCGGUGAAAUGCUUAGAUAUCACGAAGAACACCGGUGGCGAAGGCAGCUCACCGGGCCGGAACUGACACUGAUGCUCGAAAGUGCGGGUAUCAAACAGGAUUAGAUACCCUGGUAGUCCGCGCAGUAAACGAUGAAUACUCGCUGUUUGCGAUACACGGUAAGCGGCCAAGCGAAAGCGUUAAGUAUUCCACCUGGGGAGUACGCCGGCAACGGUGAAACUCAAAUGAAUUGGCGGGG